This 253-nucleotide ribosomal RNA is filed under the name uncultured bacterium. RNAcentral describes it as "partial 16S ribosomal RNA". It matches the Rfam family "Bacterial small subunit ribosomal RNA", at positions 524 to 776 of the family's 1533-position model. The record is from RNAcentral.
UACGUAGGGUGCAAGCGUUAAUCGGAAUUACUGGGCGUAAAGCGUGCGCAGGCGGUUGUGCAAGUCAGAUGUGAAAUCCCCGGGCUCAACCUGGGAACUGCAUUUGUGACUGCACGGCUAGAGUACGGUAGAGGGGGAUGGAAUUCCGCGUGUAGCAGUGAAAUGCGUAGAUAUGCGGAGGAACACCGAUGGCGAAGGCAAUCCCCUGGACCUGUACUGACGCUCAUGCACGAAAGCGUGGGGAGCAAACAGG